Long non-coding RNA from Bos taurus (domestic cattle), 630 nucleotides. Lineage: Eukaryota; Metazoa; Chordata; Mammalia; Artiodactyla; Bovidae. The record is from Ensembl.
AGCAGCAGAGGUGAUUAAAAUACUCUGCCCUUUAUACAAAGACCAUCCACCGCACCCCCUGAGGCUCCCUGAUAUUGUCAUCAAUGAUGCUGAUGGGUUUGCCUUGAUCUUCACUUUGCUGCCUCUUGAGAACAACAGUGUUCGUUUAUGAGAGCAUUGCCUAGAUGAGAAAAGUCCGGCAGGGACUCGUUAAGUGCUGGACCUCUCUUCUGUGAGGCAUUUUUAUAUAAGGUAAUAGAUACAUGUGAUAAACUCAGAGUAUGCAAAAGUUUCAGUGGAAAGGAGAUGGCAACCUACUCCAGUGUUCUUGUCUUGAGAAUCCCAGGGACGGGGGAGCCUGGUGGGCUGCCGUCUAUGGGGUCACACAGAGUCGGACACGACUGAAGCGACUUAGCAGAAGCAGCAGCAGAGGCACGUGGAAACUUAGUUCCCUGACCAGGAAUCGAACUCAUGCCCCUUGAAUUGGAAGGUGAAGUCUUAACCACUGGACCUCCGGGGAAGUUCUCUGAGAUUGUCUCUUGAGAAAUAAGCAUUGUUUUCAAGAUGUGCAGUCAUGUCUGUAUGUGUAUAUGUGCAUAUGUGUAUGUGUGUGUAUCUCAAUUUUGAACACAUUGUGUAUGUUGUUCUGCA